Molecule: ribosomal RNA, 408 nt
Filed under: uncultured bacterium
Lineage: Bacteria
Description: partial 16S ribosomal RNA
Rfam family: Bacterial small subunit ribosomal RNA
Source: RNAcentral
GACGAACGCUGGCGGCGUGCCUAACACAUGCAAGUCGAACGAAGUGGCGAACGGGUGAGUAACGCGUAAUCAACCUGCCCUUCAGAGGGGGACAACAGUUGGAAACGACUGCUAAUACCGCAUACUGAUGGAGGAGAUUGCGUUGGAUUGGCUCGUUGGAGGGGUAACGGCCCACCAAGGCGAUGAUCAGUAGGCGGUCUGGGGGGGGGGACGGGCAAAAUGGGACUGGGACACGGGCCAGACUCCUUAGGGAAGGAGCAGGGGGGGAACUUCCGCAAUGGACGGAAGUCUGACGGAGCAACGGCGGGGGAGUGAUGAAGGCCUUCGGGUUGUAAAGCUCUGUUAAUCGGGACGCGGUACCGGAAUAGAAAGCCACGGCUAACUACGUGCCAGCAGCCGCGGUAAUAC